UACGUAUGGAGCAAGCGUUAUCCGGAUUUACUGGGUGUAAAGGGUGCGUAGGUGGCAGUGCAAGUCAGAUGUGAAAGGCCGGGGCUCAACCCCGGAGCUGCAUUUGAAACUGCUCGGCUAGAGUACAGGAGAGGCAGGCGGAAUUCCUAGUGUAGCGGUGAAAUGCGUAGAUAUUAGGAGGAACACCAGUGGCGAAGGCGGUCUGCUGGACUGUUACUGACACUGAGGCACGAAAGCGUGGGGAGCAAACAGG
Molecule: ribosomal RNA, 253 nt
Filed under: Anaerobutyricum hallii
Lineage: Bacteria; Bacillati; Bacillota; Clostridia; Lachnospirales; Lachnospiraceae
Description: partial 16S ribosomal RNA
Rfam family: Bacterial small subunit ribosomal RNA
Source: RNAcentral